UUAACUGAAACCAAAUUAGAGGUAUAUUAUUGUUAAUAAUAAAAUUGAAUUAAAUUUUCCUGUUAAG
Molecule: transfer RNA, 67 nt
Filed under: Allacta hainanensis
Lineage: Eukaryota; Metazoa; Arthropoda; Insecta; Blattodea; Pseudophyllodromiidae
Description: tRNA-Asn
Source: RNAcentral